This is an RNA transcript of Columba livia (rock pigeon), 6625 nucleotides long. It is a transcript of the gene named DEAF1 transcription factor, with no coding region annotated. The record is from RefSeq and is a predicted model, not a curated record. Lineage: Eukaryota; Metazoa; Chordata; Aves; Columbiformes; Columbidae. The transcript has 15 exons.
AUGGAGGACGCCGACUCGGCGGCGAAGCAGCUGGGCUUAGCGGAGGCGGCGGCAGUGGCGGCCGCAGUGGCGGCUGCGGCAGGACCCGAGCAGCAGCCGCCUCAAACGGCGGCCUCGGAGUCGGAGCCGGACCCCGACCCCGAGGAGGAAGAGGAGGAGGAGGAGGCGGCGGCGGCGCAGGUGACGGCGGUGACGGUGAUGGCGGCAGAUGCCGAGCACAUGGAGAUGGGAGCCGAACCCCUGCCGAGCGCCGACGAGGCUGCCGCCGCCUUCGCAGAAGUCACCACAGUGACAGUGGCCAACGUUGGUGCCUCCGCAGACAAUGUUUUCACUACAUCUGUGGCAAAUGCAGCUUCAAUUUCAGGACAUGUGCUGUCUGGAAGGACGGCCCUACAAAUCGGGGACAGCUUGAACACCGAGAAAGCCACGCUCAUCGUGGUUCACACGGACGGCAGCAUCGUCGAAACCACCGGGCUGAAGGGGCCGUCGGCACCUCUCACCCCAGGACCACAAUCUCCUCCUACCCCUUUAACAUCUGUCCAAGAGAAAACUGGAACCAAGUACAACUGGGACCCGUCUGUGUAUGAGAACGAGCUCCCGGUGAGGUGUCGGAACAUCAGCGGCAUUCUGUAUAAAAACAGACUCGGCUCAGGAGGCCGCGGCAGGUGCAUUAAGCAAGGGGACAACUGGUACAGCCCCACGGAGUUUGAAGCGAUGGCGGGACGGGCCAGCAGCAAGGACUGGAAGAGGAGCAUCCGCUACGCUGGGCGGCCCCUGCAGUGCCUUAUUCACGACGGGAUUUUAAAUCCUCACGCUGCCUCUUGUACUUGUGCUGCUUGCUGCGAUGACAUGACUCUGAGCGGCCCUGUACGACUCUUCGUGCCAUAUAAAAGGCGAAAAAAAGAAAAUGAAAUGCCUGCGACUCCAGCGAAGAAGGACUGCCCCAAAAACAUCACUCUGCUUCCUGCCACAGCUGCCACCACAUUCACCGUGAGUCCCUCUGGGCAGAUCACUACCUCCGGCGCCCUGACCUUCGACCGCGCGUCCACAGUGGAAGCCACAGCGAUUAUCUCGGAAAGUCCAUCCCAGGGAGACGUUUUCACUGGAGCUGCUGUUCAGGACACCAACGUGCAGCAGCCGUGCCGGGUCAGUCACCCCGAGCCCCACUACCCCAGUUACCAGGACAACUGCCAGAUCUCCCCGUUUCCUGAAGCUGCGCUGCCAACGGCUCACCCCAAAAUCGUGCUAACCUCGCUCCCUGCCCUGGCGGUGCCCCCCACCACCCCCACCAAAGCCAUCUCGCCCUCGGUGGUGAACGGGCUGGAGGUGACGGAGCAGCGCAGCUGGCUGUACCUGGAGGAGAUGGUCAACUCCUUGCUCAGCACCGCCCAGCAGCUGAAGACGCUCAUCGAGCAGGCCAAGCAGGCCAGCUCCUCCUUCCGCGAGGCGGCCGUCACACAAGCCAAAAUCCAAGCUGAUGUGGAGAGGAAAGAGCAAUAUCAGAACCAGUUAUUUCAACAAACGGAAGAUGUGGAUGGGAAAACGGAAAUCAUCAUCAAGCAGUCUUGUGUCAACUGUGGCCGUGAGGCAACGAACGAGUGCACAGGAUGCCAUAAAGUCAACUACUGCUCCACGUUCUGCCAGCGCAAGGACUGGAAGGACCACCAGCACAUCUGCGGCCAGUCGGCCGCGGUGACGGUGCAAGCCGACGAGGUGCACGUUGCGGACAGCGUCAUGGAGAAAGUCGCCGUCUGAGCACAGCUACCUCUUCAGCCGUUCGCCAACAGCGAGGGGCGGCCGGCUGGAUCGGCAGCCCGGCGUGAACGGUCUGUCCGUUACAAACCACACUCUUCGCACUAGCAAACUCAUUUUUGAAAGAGUUUUUUUUGAUACUGUGACAGCAUUUGCCUACUCCUGAUCCUCUUCCAAAACUCUGAAUAGCACAGAGACUGUGAAAACCUCAUCUGGAAGAAACAAGCCCCUCCUAAGUGCGGCCUGGCAGCUGGGAGCCGCCCUCGGCUUCACCGUUUCCAGACUGGAACCUCCACCAUGUGGAUUACAGCGCCCUCAUCAUCUCUCUUGAGAUGGAUCUAAAGCAGAAUGGAGCGUGUCUUUCGCUUGCCAGGCAGAGCUCCUCCCUGGAGGUGCAGGCGAACGCUGGUUUAGAGGUGCUGUUCUCCUGAGCAUCACUCCAUUUCAUCCCCACUAUGGCUGAAACAGGAGCUAAAGGUAUCUCCUUGCAGGGAGGGCUGGAUUCAGACCUGAGCACUUCACCCGGCCUCUUCUCCAGCACCGAGCAGCCACCACAAACCAAACUGACGAGCUGAAUCAGAAAAAACAACCCUCAAAUUUUUGCCAAGCUCACUGGGAUCCUGAUGAGUUCAGUUCAGAUGAUGAGUGAGGCAAUUUGAUUGUGGGCUACAGUUUUCAAAAGCUGUUUGUGAUUUGGGGGAACUGAUUAAUUCUAAAAAGGACAAGAGCUCUCGGGCUGCGGCACCUUCAGAGGACACAGCCUGUGCUGUGAGGUUCAGGUCGGGCAUCUAGAAAAAGCUACAAACUCUUCCCUUUCCCCACCAACCCCCAGUGCUCAGGCUUCGGGGAAAGUGCUGGGAGAGGACUUGCCGUUAUACCACAUUUCUCACCUGCCCACCUUAGCAAAAUGUGCCAGGAGCCUCCCUGGCGGGUGAGCGACUUUGGCUUAGAGGCACAGCUGGCUUUGCUGGGUCAUGUGGUGAGCGGUACCUAAUUACAGGAGGUCACAGAUUAGCCCGUCAAGGUACAGGGUGUGAAGCUUUGGGGAUCACUGACGGCUCAGGCCGCCUUUAAGAAGUGCUCCAGCACAACUCCACUUCCUUUGGCUGUUUUGUGUUCACUGCUCUUUCCUGAGGCCCCUGUUUUUCUCCAGCGAUGCAGGAUCCGCAGCGCUGGCGCUGAGCAGACGCAUCGUGUUGCACAGCAAAGCAGACACUACAGGCGAGCCGUCUCCCUUAACAAAAUGAAACAAAGCUGCAAAUAGAACCCCGCUAGCCAGCCUACCUGCUACGGCUUUUCUAGGGCUGUGGCUGUGCUCUGCACAGCUCUGCCAAGAAUAUAGUCUAAGCCUUAAAUAAGUGAGUUGGACAUAUUAACCACCACGCUUGAAACCUCCGGCAUCGCCUCCUGGAAGGUGGAAAACUCUAUGUGUGUGUCGGGGGGUCACACUCUGCCCUGAGCUCAGCGCGUCGUGGGAGACAAGGAGUGUUUAUAGGAUGGUGAUAAUGAUCGCCGCUCGGGACGCAAGCCAGACCCCUUUCAAAGCGAUAUUCCAGGUGCAGACUGGCUGCUUGUUCAGCCACCAAAGCUGGUAACACCAGUAAAUUCACAUGCAGCCACUGUGGUCUCUUACAAGAUACCAAUAUCUCACUACAAACGGCACUGAGGUUCUGGAGCAACCCCUAUGUGCAGGGGAGGAACAACUCCAGCCGCUGCUUACAAAGAACAGAAAGAGGCUAUGGAAACGUGAUCCUUCAGGCUUUGGUGGUGAUGGCACCUGAGAAAAUAUACCCAGACAACAGCAGCCUGCAAGUGAACUGGGAAAUGUCCAGCUGAACGUCCAAACAAGCACCCGCCUGCCCUCGGCAAGGCCACGGCUCAAGCACUGAUCCUGAGAGCCCAGGCCAAUCAGAAGAGUAAUAAUCCUUGCAAGUGGGCAAAGUCCAGCAUCAGAGUCCAAGAAUUGUCCAAACGCCCACAACAAGCUGACUCUGGGCCCUUUCUCAUGGCCCGUGACGACUGCUGCAUUCUCUAGAAGAUACAAUGCAAGGGGAAAGAGAGGGCGUGGGACACAAGACAAAGGUGGCCUCAUGUCCGCCCUAAUGACCUUUCUUGGCUUAAAUCAUUGAAGUGAAGGCUUUUCAGAAAUGAGGAGCAAGUCUGACCAUCCACAUUGUAAGGGCACAAGACGCAAAGACGCCUCCCUCCUAUUACUGGUGACUGCAAAGAAAAUCCUUAGCGCUGGUUUGUAAUUGCUGGCCUGUGUCACCUCCCCAGUACUUUGUGCAGAGACUGUGUGGCUCAGAUACCAGCCAGGCCUAGAACAACAUCUAUUUCCACUAAAGCUGUAUGAUUCCAGGAAAGACUAAUCUUGAACGCUGCUGCUGAAAGGAUGACAUGCAUUCACAGAGAGCCACGGAAAAUUCGGAGAGGUCUGGCCUCUCAUCAGAAGAGCUGCAUCACAGGCGCACAGACACGAGAUGCUGCAAAAAAAAAGCGGUCUUUUGAUACCAGUGGUACACAGACAUCCUGGAAGUUUUAUGCAGAACUGCAUCACCCUCACCAAGAAAACAGGUUGUGUCAUUAGCACUGGCUGCUCGAUCGCUCUGAGAGUGCACGAGGCAGAGCGCUUGCCUGGAAAAACUCAUCUUCCCUGACCUGUAGAAGGAGCUGGGUGAGCGCGCAGAUCUCCUAAACCAUUUCCUCUUCUUCGUAAUCAAUUAGCGAGAUCUCAGUGGCAAAGAUGUUUACAUAACUGCCUCACAGCUCCUGCCAGCAGCCGCCGGAUCAGACCUGGUCACAGCUCAGGCACCCGCUGUGGAUUAAGGAGCGAGCAGAUAAGGGGAGUUUGCAGAGCGCGGCAGGUAGGAGGUGCGUUCUACAGCCGAGUCCCGAGAGUGGAAGUUGCUCAGCCUGGCGACUGCCCUAAUGCUGGGAAUGCUUCCAGUUAAUGAGGACUAUAUAAAACUGCUGCUGCAGCUCCUGUCAGCAGAGUCUUUGGCUAAAGGAAGCCCUUACACACAAAAAUAAGCCUUUGUAGCCAUGCAACUCCCUCACUGCAAUUUCUAGUGGGCAAAGCCACUGUGAGGCUAAAGAGAUCUACAGUAUCUCCACAGCACCACGUAGCUCUGCCUUCUCUGCCUUCUCGUGUCCUCACCGCCUCAGGGGAGCGAUAACCCCCGUUUUCAGUGCUCUUGGUGCUCCAGGCAGACUCUGGUGUCUUUUCCUGGCCUCUCUUCACACAAAAGCAGAGCUUUGCCCCUGGGGAAUGAUGGUGGAGCCCUGGGAGCUUUCCAUCAUCCCUGCCUUACUGGCACCGCACUGAUUGCCAGGAGAGCACUUCACUCUCAUCAGAAAGACAGGACCGCUGCAGAAGAGCAGCCUGCCUUCCUCAUGGCUUUUUACCUCUCCCUGUCGUACUGCUAAGACUUCAGAUUUCCGAGCAAGUUGGAAGAUAACAGUUCUUUGUUCUUUGAACAAGUUCGGUGGAAAGUGCUGGACACAUCUGCACCAGCACAUUAUGAUUUGGGCCGGGACUGCAUGUGUACAUACCGACACCUUUGUGUAGCGGCCAACAGCUCAAACGGCAAACAGCACUAAUCCACCUCCGUGCAAACCAGCACUCCAAACAGAAUGAGGAAUGAGCAGGGAACAGAAGUUCGCCUGCUUUUCUUUGAAGGUGGUACUUUGCUGCAAAGGAGGAACUGGCUGUAAACACAGCCCUGUCCGGAGUUCACUUCACGUCCAUACUGGGGAGCUGUUCCAUUUGGAAACUGAUGCUUUCAACCAGUGAAAAGCUGAUGUUUCUUCCCUUCCCAUCUUGGUUACAUCAGGUUGUGGAGGAUCAGGACUGAGAAAUGAAAGCGACAUUUGGAGUUGUGAAAGGCCAGCUUCAUUACAUCAGCUUUAACACUCUCAUUAAGUCCCCAAGCGUUAACUUGAGCUGCUGAGGUAGAUAAAUUUGACAGGACAAACUAAUGCGGAGAGAGAUACAGCCUGAAGAACUCCCAGCAAUGCAGUCAAGAAUGCAGUGAUUGUGAAAUGGUGCAGAAAAGAAACGGUUGUGACCACACACACCCAUGUCCCCCUUGUCUAGCACCUGCUUCCAGCAACCCUCCAACAGUUUAGCUGCGGCAAAAAGUUAUGCUGGCUCUGUCAAGUACAAAAGGAGACUGUGUGUCAACACAUGCUGCCAACGCAUCGGAAUAAGCUUUCUUAACAACUAGAAACAACAGUCAAGAUCAAGGCCUCUCCCGCUGUGCUCAGGCUUCUGUGAACAGCAGCAAGGCAUAAUCCACACCUCACAGGGAGGAAUCCCAACCGCACUGAAGCGUGUGGGAGAUCUCUUGUUCUGUGGUGAUGUCAGAUUUCAGCUCCAAAGUUUAAAUCCCUCCAGCUGUCUUCUAAAGCCGUGACUGGGAGGGAUGUUUCCAGAAACCUAACGCGAGAAGCCAUCUCACAGGAAAAAAGGCACAAAGACGACUGAGCUUCUCCUGCUGAAUGAAGUGGUCACAGUUUAUCGUUCUGCUCCUGCUAAACAAGAAGCAAAAAAAAUGCCUCAGCUGGUUUUUAAGUUUUCCAGCAAGCCCUCAAAGUCCAUCUUUACUCUGUCAGGAGCUCUACUGAAGUUGAAAAAUACCCAACUAAACAAAAAAACCCCACACCAAGAAUAAAGGUUGAACUGAACGUUCAGGACUGUGCAUGCCAUAUUUUCAAUGGCUAAAUUCAGUGGUACGAAUGCAAGUUGAAAUCAAGCAAAACAGCACAAUCGCUAUACACUGCACUCCCCCAGCUGAGCGUCUGAUUCCAACCUACAGUUGUCACUUUUGCCUCAAGAAAAUAAAAUUUAAAAAAAUCUGUCCCCUGGCACUGA